GUAUAAGAGCGGGGGGAAUCAUCUGACGGAUUUUGUCGGGGUGGAGCCGACCAAGAAGCGGAAGCGGCGAACUUCGUUCACGCCGCAGGCUUUGGAGGUACUGAUCGGCUAUUUCAAGAUGAAUACUCAUCCGACUGGUAAUGAGGUCAGCACGCUAGCGCAUCGUCUCGGCUACGACAGGGAGGUCAUUAGGAUUUGGUUCUGCAACAGGAGGCAGGCCCAGAAGAACACAAGAUUGAAGAACACCUUGUAAGGACACCCUGUAGAUCCGGUACCCGCGUAACGGAACCAGUGAACAAAGUAAAGCUUUAAGGACUCGAUCUUACGUAGCGCCCGAGGAACACCUGUGCCGAUCCCAAGGAUGCGGGCCGAUCUCGUAUCCGCCGGAUCGGCUGUCGAACCGUUGGAACGCCGCCGCCGACGAAAUCGGCGAUUUAACGGAACGUUUGAAAUAAUCGAGCGUUUCAGCGGGUUACCGGCUUUGAAUUUUAAACAGCAGGUUGAGCGCGCAGCUGUGCUGCCGGUCGAUGUAAAGAUCAUUGUGAUUGCAGGCGUAUACGAGACCUAUCUGUAAAUAACUUUAAUCAAUGAAUAUGUGAUGUACAGGAGUCGAGCGUCGAUUACUGGCGGUCAACUUUAUCGAUUGACAAUGAAGCGAACUCAUUUACCAACGGUGGUAGACAUCGACGCAACAUUUCCCCACGGUUGAUAAACCAGUGAUUGAUAAUUCGAAGUUACUGGCGGACGUUGCGCGAACCGUUAUCAACGGUUGAUAAAAUGAAAUUUCAAAUUUCCCGGGGCUUUCGAGAAUAUUCUUUUUCUAAUGUAUUUAAACGGGAGAAGUCGUUCGCGCAACGUCCGCGGGAACCGGUCCGCAGGACCGUUGUCGGUAGUCCACGCCUCGACUCGCGAACUUAGGAUAAGUAAUUCCCGCAAGUAAUCGCACAGAAUAAAUCUAGUUCGUAAAAUUGAGAAGCUUCCAGCCAGCCGAGGAUCGUCAACGAUACGAUUCGAAACGAAGCACAAAACGAGCCUCCCGCGAGAAGUGUCAGGUUUCUACGAAUCGAUCCUCGUAUUUCUCGCGCGAGGGGAUACGUCCAAGACUAAAAUAAAAGAAGAACGAUCGAAGGGGCCCAGUCGGCCCAUUGCACACACUGAACAGAACAUAGUUGAAGCAACGAGAGCAACAGUACCAACACAGAUACCAUCACAGUUCACAUGCCAUACACAAGGAUAAUACCGUUCAGUUGUCCAUGAAAUAGCAACGGAGAAGUUUUACAGUACCGCCGAUAUCGUUUAUAACGAUCGUGUCCAAUUCAGUUCUCUUCUUACCGGUGACCAAAAGACAAUUUUCCUUACUGGGACUUCCGUUUCUGAAACUGUUUCAACCGUCAUUGUUCUCUGGGUGUGCUCGUCUGUAAAUUACGCGCGUAUUUAGGGAUCGAUUGAGAUGAUGAAGCGACAGAAUA
Non-coding RNA from Nomia melanderi (Alkali bee), 1469 nucleotides. The record is from RefSeq and is a predicted model, not a curated record. NCBI's taxonomy places the organism in Eukaryota, Metazoa, Arthropoda, Insecta, Hymenoptera, Halictidae.